RNAcentral lists this ribosomal RNA (480 nucleotides) under uncultured bacterium. Its description in RNAcentral is "bacterial SSU rRNA". It matches the Rfam family "Bacterial small subunit ribosomal RNA", at positions 29 to 486 of the family's 1533-position model. The record is from RNAcentral.
AACUAACGCUGGCGGCGUGCCUAAACACAUGCAAGUCGUACGAGAAAGUCGGCUUCGGCUGAUGAGUAAAAGUGGCGCACGGGUGAGUAACGCGUGGAUAAUCUGCCCUUGAGUGUGGAAUAACGUACCGAAAGGUGCGCUAAUACCGCAUAAUGCCUGGCAACACAAGUUGUCCGGCCAAAGAAGGCCUCUGUUUACAAGCUUUUGCUCAAGGAUGAGUCCGCGUACCAUUAGCUAGUUGGUGGGGUAACGGCCUACCAAGGCUACGAUGGUUAGCUGGUCUGAGAGGAUGAUCAGCCACACUGGAACUGAGACACGGUCCAGACUCCUACGGGAGGCAGCAGUGAGGAAUAUUGCGCAAUGGGGCAACCCUGACGCAGCAACGCCGCGUGAGUGAGGAAGGUUUUCGGACUGUAAAGCUCUGUCGAGCGGAAGAAAUGUACCAUGGCUAAUAUCCAUGAUAUUUGACGUACGCUAGAG